GAAGGCACGAUGAAGAGGACAGUAUCCUAAUCGUUCGCAUUUAGAGAGAAAUGCCCUGGGCUGUGAGCAUUUUUGCGAUAUUUGGGAAAAGACCGCCUCCGAGUUCCUCGCCGAACAUGAUUUGCGUAGGCUGGACGUUUAUCCGCGUUAAGGAUGCCAAGGAAAAUUAGCUGCCGGUAUAGUAGGCGGUCAUAUUUUUGAAUUUGGGUGGAACCACGGGUUUCUAUCGCUCUCGUCCCAUAG
This 243-nucleotide non-coding RNA is filed under the name Dehalobacter sp. RNAcentral describes it as "T-box sequence". It matches the Rfam family "T-box leader". From Rfam's summary of the family: Uncharged tRNA acts as the effector for transcription antitermination of genes in the T-box leader family. The record is from RNAcentral. Lineage: Bacteria; Bacillati; Bacillota; Clostridia; Eubacteriales; Desulfitobacteriaceae.